UUGCCGGCAAAAACAAAACAAUGUCAGCUCCUCUUAAAUGUAUUAGCAGAACCUAGGACUAGCUUCAGUUUGAUAAUCCUAUCUAUGCUGUUGCUGUUGACCUUUGUGUGUUCAGCUUCUAAUGGUCUUUGGACUGUCUCUAUCAGGCAUACACUUUUAAGCUUGACCUCAAAUCAGGUAGGACUACCCGCUGAACUUAA
This 200-nucleotide unclassified non-coding RNA is filed under the name soil metagenome. RNAcentral's name for it is "partial contains internal transcribed spacer 2 and large subunit ribosomal RNA". The record is from RNAcentral.